This 502-nucleotide ribosomal RNA is filed under the name uncultured bacterium. Its description in RNAcentral is "partial 16S ribosomal RNA". It matches the Rfam family "Bacterial small subunit ribosomal RNA", at positions 29 to 507 of the family's 1533-position model. The record is from RNAcentral.
AGCGAACGCUGGCGGCGUGCCUAACACAUGCAAGUCGAACGUGAAAGGGAGCACUCCCAAGUAAAGUGGCGUACGGGUGAGUAACACGUAGGUAAUCUACCCCAGAAUCUGGAAUAACCGGCCGAAAGGCUGGCUAAUACUGGAUAGAGCGACGGAAUCCGUAAUUGGGUUUUUCGGGAAAGGGAGCCUGUAAAAAGGCCUUCGUUCUGGGAUGAGCCUGCGUCCCAUCAGCUAGUUGGUGAGGUAAAAGCUUACCAAGGCAAUGACGGGUAACUGGUCUGAGAGGACGAUCAGCCACACUGGAACUGAAACACGGUCCAGACUCCUACGGGAGGCAGCAGUGGGGAAUCUUGCGCAAUGGACGAAAGUCUGACGCAGCAACGCCGCGUGAGUGAAGAAGGCCUUCGGGUUGUAAAGCUCUGUCGAGUGGGACGAAAAUGCUUGGAGUUCACAGCUCCAGGAACUGACGGUACCACUAAAGGAAGCACCGGCUAACUCCGUG